UACGUAGGCAGCAAGCGUUGUUCGGAAUUACUGGGCGUAAAGAGUGUGUAGGCGGUGCUCCAAGUCUGGUGUGAAAUCUCCCGGCUUAACUGGGAGGGUGCAUUAGAAACUGGAAUGCUAGAGGAUGGGAGAGGUAAGCGGAAUUCCUGGUGUAGCGGUGAAAUGCGUGGAUAUCAGGAGGAACACCUGUGGUGUAGACAGCUUACUGGACCAUUUCUGACGCUGAGACACGAAAGCGUGGGUAGCAAACAGG
Molecule: ribosomal RNA, 253 nt
Filed under: uncultured bacterium
Lineage: Bacteria
Description: partial 16S ribosomal RNA
Rfam family: Bacterial small subunit ribosomal RNA
Source: RNAcentral